UCUCCUGUAGCUCAGUGGUAGUGUGUCCGACUGGUGUGCAGAAGGUCAUAUGUGUAGGUUCGACUCCUGUUGGGGAAA
Molecule: non-coding RNA, 78 nt
Organism: Desmophyllum pertusum
Lineage: Eukaryota; Metazoa; Cnidaria; Anthozoa; Scleractinia; Caryophylliidae
Source: the annotation of a GenBank genome assembly